Molecule: long non-coding RNA, 1065 nt
Organism: Coccinella septempunctata (seven-spotted ladybird)
Lineage: Eukaryota; Metazoa; Arthropoda; Insecta; Coleoptera; Coccinellidae
Exons: 2
Source: RefSeq, a predicted model, not a curated record
ACCGAGUCCACAUGUUCUUCAAAUGUAAACCAGAAAAAUGUUACAUGCGACUUUAAAAAUAAUUUCAACUUAGUGGUUAUCGAUGCAAUAUGUCCAAAUGGCGGAAGAACAAACACAAUCAAAUUAUGCAUCUCAGUUAGAGUUGAAAUCAUAUGUUUGGAGACUUAAGUUAGUGGCUUUUUAUAAUCAUUUUUCUUGAAUGCAACAAACAAAUGUUCUAUUUCCAUUGUUUCUGAACUCAAUAGUUCCAUACAUUUACUGCAGGAAUGUUUGUAGCGUACUACAUGUCAAUUGUGCCCCCUGUAUAUAUAUUCCUUAUAUCUGCGAAGGCAAUUGAAUAAAACUUGUCCGUCGAAGACAUAUGUGCGAUAUUGAUAAGCGCAUCGGUUAACUGAGUGUACCUACGUUUUUCCUUUUUCCUUUGUCUACCUUCAAUCAGUGCAAAUAAUUGAAAUAUUUGUCUAGAAAUCAUCUCGAUUUUCAGUUAUUUCGCUAUUGUUACAUAAAAUAAUCAGAUUAUCGUGUUUGGAAAACCCUCAUAAAGGGUUUUUCCUGGGAGAUAAUUUUUCCUGGGAGAUAAUUUUUCCUGGAAGAUAAUUUUUCUGGGAGACCAAUUCCUUAUCGACUCCCUCAAAACUAUCGAAACUUUUGGAUUCCUUGGAAUAUAAUUUUGGAAAGAAGAGGAUUUUCCAUCGUGAACUAUUGACUGCAGAUAUUUACCAGCAGUAGUCAUUGAAAUACUCCACUAUAGCUAGACGCUGUAGGCAUCACUACCACCCUGAUAUUAAUGUUCACCACCUUGAGACUAUCUACAGGGAGGUCACAAUAACUAGAGAGUUUUUCACCAGCCAUUCUAUCCAUCAGCGACUGUACACAGGGUGUACAAAAUUGUUAGGAAGUUUUCGCCGACAUUUCCAACGUGGAGAAAAUAUACAGGGAAGUCCAUUAUUUUUAUCAUUGUCUCCGAUAUCGAAAUUAUUUACUUUUUCUUGGUCAUUUAUCAAAUAUUUGGUGCCAGAUUAUCUGUAAAUAUUGCAAAUAUUGUAAAUAAACGCUUGUAUAUAA